Molecule: ribosomal RNA, 451 nt
Filed under: uncultured bacterium
Lineage: Bacteria
Description: bacterial SSU rRNA
Rfam family: Bacterial small subunit ribosomal RNA
Source: RNAcentral
AACGAACGCUGGCGGCAUGCCUAACACAUGCAAGUCGAACGAGACCUUCGGGUCUAGUGGCGCACGGGUGCGUAACGCGUGGGAACCUGCCUUUAGGUUCGGAAUAACUCAGAGAAAUUUGAGCUAAUACCGGAUAAUGUCUUCGGACCAAAGAUUUAUCGCCUUUAGAUGGGCCCGCGUUGGAUUAGCUAGUUGGUGGGGUAAAGGCCUACCAAGGCGACGAUCCAUAGCUGGUCUGAGAGGAUGAUCAGCCACACUGGGACUGAGACACGGCCCAGACUCCUACGGGAGGCAGCAGUGGGGAAUAUUGGACAAUGGGGCGAAAGCCUGAUCCAGCAAUGCCGCGUGAGUGAUGUAGGCCUUAGGGUUGUAAAGCUCUUUUACCCGAGAUGAUAAUGACAGUAUCGGGAGAAUAAGCUCCGGCUAACUCCGUGCCAGCAGCCGCGGUAAU